This 510-nucleotide ribosomal RNA is filed under the name uncultured bacterium. RNAcentral describes it as "partial 16S ribosomal RNA". It matches the Rfam family "Bacterial small subunit ribosomal RNA", at positions 28 to 507 of the family's 1533-position model. The record is from RNAcentral.
GACGAACGCUGGCGGCGUGCUUAACACAUGCAAGUCGAACGAAGAGCGAUGGAAGCUUGCUUCUAUCAAUCUUAGUGGCGAACGGGUGAGUAACGCGUAAUCAACCUGCCCUUCAGAGGGGGACAACAGUUGGAAACGACUGCUAAUACCGCAUACGAUCUAAUCUCGGCAUCGAGGAUAGAUGAAAGGUGGCCUCUACAUGUAAGCUAUCACUGAAGGAGGGGAUUGCGUCUGAUUAGCUAGUUGGAGGGGUAACGGCCCACCAAGGCGAUGAUCAGUAGCCGUGCUGAGAGGAGGAACGGCCCCACUGGGACUGAGACACGGCCCAGACUCCUACGGGAGGCAGCAGUCGGGAAUCUUCCGCAAUGGACGAAAGUCUGACGGAGCAACGCCGCGUGAGUGAUGACGGCCUUCGGGUUGUAAAGCUCUGUUAAUCGGGACGAAAGGCCUUCUUGCGAAUAGGGAGAAGGAUUGACGGUACCGGAAGAGAAAGCCACGGCUAACUACGUG